UUGGAGGGCAAGUCUGGUGCCAGCAGCCGCGGUAAUUCCAGCUCCAAUAGCGUAUAUUAAAGUUGUUGCAGUUAAAAAGCUCGUAGUUGAAUUUCGGGAUUGACGUGAUGGUCAUGCCUUAAGGGGUAUGAACUGUUACUGUUGAUUUCUCACCUUCUGGAGAAACUUGAUGUCCUUUAUUGGGUGUCUUGCGGAUCCAGGACCUUUACCUUGAAAAAAUUAGAGUGUUUAAAGCAGGCAUUUUUGCUCGAAUACAUUAGCAUGGAAUAAUAGAAUAGGACGGCAUGGUUCUAUUUUGUUAGUUUCUAGGAUCACCGUAAUGAUUAAUAGGGAUAGUUGGGGGCAUUAGUAUUCAAUUGUCAGAGGUGAAAUUCUUGGAUUUAUUGAAGACUAACUACUGCGAAAGCAUUUGCCAAGGAUGUUUUCAUUAAUCAAGAACGAAAGUUAGGGGAUCGAAGACGAUCAGAUACCGUCGUAGUCUUAACCAUAAACUAUGCCGACUAGGAAUCAGACGAUGUUAAUUUUUUAAUGACUCGUUUGGCACCUUACGGGAAACCAAAG
This 561-nucleotide ribosomal RNA is filed under the name uncultured Glomus. RNAcentral's name for it is "SSU rRNA". It matches the Rfam family "Eukaryotic small subunit ribosomal RNA", at positions 548 to 1103 of the family's 1831-position model. Lineage: Eukaryota; Fungi; Glomeromycota; Glomeromycetes; Glomerales; Glomeraceae. The record is from RNAcentral.